Molecule: ribosomal RNA, 499 nt
Filed under: uncultured bacterium
Lineage: Bacteria
Description: bacterial SSU rRNA
Rfam family: Bacterial small subunit ribosomal RNA
Source: RNAcentral
GAGGUUGGCUUCGGCCAGCCUAGUGGCGGACGGGUGAGUAAUGCGUGGGAAUCUGCCUCGUAGUGGGGGAUAACGUAGGGAAACUUACGCUAAUACCGCAUACGCUCUACGGAGGAAAGGGGGGGAUCUUCGGACCUCUCGCUAUGAGAUGAGCCCACGUCUGAUUAGCUAGUUGGUGGGGUAAAGGCCUACCAAGGCGACGAUCAGUAGCCGGCCUGAGAGGGUGGACGGCCACACUGGGACUGAGACACGGCCCAGACUCCUACGGGAGGCAGCAGUGGGGAAUAUUGGACAAUGGGCGAAAGCCUGAUCCAGCAAUGCCGCGUGUGUGAAGAAGGCCUGCGGGUUGUAAAGCACUUUAAGUGGGGAAGAACGGGAUUGCGCUAAUACCGUGAUCCUUUGACGUUACCCACAGAAUAAGCACCGGCUAACUCUGUGCCAGCAGCCGCGGUAAUACGGAGGGUGCGAGCGUUAAUCGGAAUUACUGGGCGUAAAGCGC